Long non-coding RNA from Bombus impatiens (common eastern bumble bee), 1460 nucleotides. RefSeq lists it as uncharacterized. NCBI's taxonomy places the organism in Eukaryota, Metazoa, Arthropoda, Insecta, Hymenoptera, Apidae. The record is from RefSeq and is a predicted model, not a curated record. The transcript is spliced from 2 exons.
UACUUAAUUAUAUAUUAAUUUAUCAAAAUACAAUGUUAGAUAUAUCUACGUAAUAUCAAGGGCGAAAAUGCUGAGAAGAAAAGAGGUCUCUUUACGAUACUACUCUUAGUAGGAAUUUUUCAAAAGUAUUCAUGUACAACGAACCUAAAGAAAUUUCCAGAUUUCUCUUCUAUCGACCAUUUGAACUCUUAGGAAGUCGCUACAUGUUCAACAAAACUAUACAAUCGAAAAUAAUAAAUUAUUCAUAAUAGAUAUUAAACUAGUAGGCUGAACGAACUUGCACUCUUCAUCUUCCAUUUCAUUAUAUCUUUCAUUAAAUUUCAAUCCUUAAUUCACUUUGGCGCUCUCUUCUGCAAGAAGCUAAGAAUACCAUCAGUUCCACCAAGUGGAGAACUCGUGAACUUCUGCAGCAUCCUGCAGACGCCUGCAAGGUCUGCACGCGGAACACGGGGUACGAUGGAGGGGGUUGAGCUGCAGCUUUAUUGGGGGUCCAACAAUGAUCGGUUGCUCCACCAUAAAAGGUCGUAGCUGUACUAGCACGCCAUGCCUCCCUUUCCAACUCUAUCUCGUUCCGGUUCUUCGCCAGCUCUAUGCAAAUCGUUCGGCGACCAGGCUCAAGAUCGAAGAACGCGCUGCGCUGCUCGAUCAGUUGAAAAUCGGCCGCUGUUCGACACACUUGGUUUUCCUAAACGGUGACGAACUCGUGAAUUUGUCUGAUAGUCGCUUGCAAGACGAUCGAGCAGUCAUGUCGAGUAAGACGGUGUCGGGACGUGGACGCGGAGAAAAAUGGCGGGAAAAAUCGGAGCGUGCGUGGGCGCAGGAUCGAUGAAGAGCGCAAAAUGGCGACGCGAGAAAGCAGGCAGAGAGAAUCGACGAAGAAGGGAGAGGGUUCGUCGAGGAAGGGGAUGAAGGAGCAGUCGAAGGGAGCGCAGGCGGUUUGGAAUGGGUGACUAGGAGAACGGUUCACCGGUAACGUUGAUUCGAUCGUGGGCGAAGCUGGCUGGAGAUCGAGUGAAAUUAUUUGGAAGAAGAAUGCAAUGGCGAUGAUCGAGCUCUGUCGGUGAUUGCGCAAAGAAUAAUAAUUUUGCGUUACCAAAGGCGUUACAAAAUUAGUAAUUAACUUAUUUCUCGUUAUAGCCGCUAUAUAUCGUAUAAGCCGUUGAGAAGCUUAAUUGAUCUGCUGUGAAAAGUUCAGAAAACUGACCACAUUACAAAUACUAUCUUCUACGUUUAUUUUAGAAUUUAUCUUAGAAUUUAAUUUCGAAUUAAUUAUUAGCGAUUAAUUAUUGAUCGAUUACAUACGUAAUAAAAUUAAGAACUUGAUAAAAAAUGGAGUUCAUCAAUUUGUCUUCUGAGAGAAAGAUAUAUUAUGGAAAUGUAUGCAUUAUGAAUAGAAGAGAAAUAUAUGUGUCUGUAUGUAAAAGAUUAAUGUUGGAAAUUUUUUACAGGCAACCUGUAAA